Molecule: long non-coding RNA, 997 nt
Organism: Eucalyptus grandis
Lineage: Eukaryota; Viridiplantae; Streptophyta; Magnoliopsida; Myrtales; Myrtaceae
Exons: 2
Source: RefSeq, a predicted model, not a curated record
CCAACAUUGUUAUUCACUCCUCUCUCUCUCUCUCUCUCUCUCUCUCUCUCUCUCUCAGAGAAAUUUGAGAAGGUGUGCAAAGAGCACGAUGGACAAGAUCCCUCGCUCUGUCUCUCUCGCGUGCGUAGGUGAGAAGGUGUGCGAAGAGCACGAUGGAGAAGCAGGGCACGUGCAUUACCGACUCAUGCCGUACGUACCUGGAGAGAAACCAAGAAAUUGGCUGAACCAUGAAGGGUUUCUUGUAUCAUCGAUGGCUCCAAGUCUGGUGAACCAUGAGUGGGUUCUUCAUGUGCCCUUCUUCCCCAUCAUGACCAGCCCACCUCUAAAAUCAUCCAUGAAAACUUCUCUUAGCAUUACCUCCGGAAUGCUUGGAAAUAUCAAUAGGAGUGCAAGGGCGUUAUGGUAACCCAAAUGAAAAGAGGGGCUAAUAAACCUCAGCCCAAAGAAAAGAAACUAAGGCAAUCCAAAGCUCAACCUGAGAAGAUAGAAGGGCUAAGGUUCCAGCAUUGUUGCAUCCUCCUAUUAGUAGGAGUAUCCGGGACCUGUUGGAAGGUCAUAGCUUUGUCCAUGAUCGACCUUGUCCAAGCAUUUCUUCAAAGCCGGCAAAAAGAGUUCGUGAUCACAAAAGAGGAUAUUAUUCUAUGAGUUUUAGUUUUUUAUUUAUUAUUUUAGUAAGAAUCCAUGGUUUUGGGUGGAUUGGACCAUGGCAAAUAAAGAGUGUAAAGAUCUUGAAGCGGCCAGAACAUUCAUGUUCAAGCUUCAAGAAGUUGCUGAUACAUGUGUUUUUUUUGUUAUGGGCUUGUUUUGCCGACAAAUGGUUUCUUUUCGUGAUAUCAGAGCACGAGUUCCUUCAUAAUGCUUCUGUCUCCAGCUACUUUGUUCACGUGGCUAUACGACGUUAUACAUUUCCCUCGUAAAUCCCAUCUUAGGUACUGGAAAAAAUGUUGACAAAUAGGUAUACUUGAAAUACAUAAUGCAUUGCUUUCCUUUUGUUUGA